This 989-nucleotide long non-coding RNA is filed under the name Brachypodium distachyon (stiff brome). RNAcentral's name for it is "long non-coding RNA (BDIS_LNC004515)". Lineage: Eukaryota; Viridiplantae; Streptophyta; Magnoliopsida; Poales; Poaceae. The record is from RNAcentral.
UUGCAUCAGCCCUGUCAUCAUGAGUGUAAUUUUGACAAUGAUACAUGCAUGCUGCUAAUCUUUUGUUUUGGUUGUUUGUGAGACGUGCGGUUGAUUCCAAGUUGCUCACUGUGGACAAUGGCAUUUCAAAGAUUUAUUUGAUGCAGUUAUGUGAUGAGUAUAUAUGUAUAAUUUUUGUUUUUUUGCUUGUCUCUUAAGAUAAGAGAGGUGUUGUUACAUGUAAGUUGUUCAUUGGAUCGAUAAUGGUAUCGAAGAUUUCAUGCAGUAAAUUCUAUGUACUCAUUAUUGACAGCUACUUCUCUAUUUCCUUAAUCUGCAUCAGUUAAUUAGCAUUUCCUAUUCAUUUGGCUCUCAAAUGAACCGGUAGGUAUUUGUCUAUUUGCACCAACUGGUAAGCAGUGAAAGCUGCACAUGUGUUUUUCUCUUUAUGUUCUUGUUAACAUCGGAUCAAUCUAUCGGAUGUCUUUACCACAACUAACAAUAAUGAACUAAUUAACUAAAUAACAAAUAUUUCAAUAUGAUUUCGCAAUGUUAAGGUUGUAGUUUUAUUUUAGUUUUUUUUCCAAACAAUUUUACUCUAGUUUUUAUAUUAUUGUCUGUGAAGUUUUCAAUCAUGGCCUCGGGAUGCCACAACAUCUAUCCAAUUAAGAAUUGUGUUAUCAAGAAUGUGGUGCGGUUCUUGGCAGUUUCGACCGUGUAAAUGAGCCACAUUGUACCAAUCCCACUUGAGUAAUGCAUCAUCGAUUGUAGUGACGAGGGGUUUCAUUGGAACACAUUACCAAUGAUCAAUGAUGUUAACUCUCCUAAUGCAUCGAUCGUCAGUUCUAUUCACUUUUCUAUUCAGAUAUGGUCAUUUAGUAUCUCCUUAGUACAGUAUAUAGCCCGUAAUAGCCUUCUAAACUCUAAUUAGAGCAUUAGUUGUGUACUGUUGUCCCUUUAUUCGGCACUAUCAGCCUUUAUGUAAACUCUAAUUAAACUUUUUUAGCAUG